Molecule: ribosomal RNA, 468 nt
Filed under: uncultured bacterium
Lineage: Bacteria
Description: partial 16S ribosomal RNA
Rfam family: Bacterial small subunit ribosomal RNA
Source: RNAcentral
GACGAACGCUGGCGGCGUGCUUAACACAUGCAAGUCGAACGGAAAGGCCCUGCUUUUGUGGGGUGCUCGCGUGGCGAAAGGGUGAGUAACACGUGAGUAAACUGCCCUUGACUUUGGGAUAACUUCAGGAAACUGGGGCUAAUACCGGAUAGGAGCUCCUGCUGCAUGGUGGGGGUUGGAAAGUUUCGGCGGUUGGGGAUGGACUCGCGGCUUAUCAGCUUGUUGGUGGGGUAGUGGCAUACCAAGGCUUUGACGGGUAGCCGGCCUGAGAGGGUGACCGGCCACAUUGGGACUGAGAGACGGCCCAGACUCCUACGGGAGGCAGCAGUGGGGAAUAUUGCACAAUGGGCGGAAGCCUGAUGCAGCAACUCCGCGUGCGGGAUGACGGCCUUCGGGUUGUAAACCGCUUUCGCCUGUGACGAAGCGUGAGUGACGGUAAUGGGUAAAGAAGCACCGGCUAACUACGUG